Molecule: long non-coding RNA, 803 nt
Organism: Eupeodes corollae
Lineage: Eukaryota; Metazoa; Arthropoda; Insecta; Diptera; Syrphidae
Exons: 2
Source: RefSeq, a predicted model, not a curated record
AUUUUCAUGUUGUGUUUAUACCGUUUAAUAUGUUAUGUAUAUUCGUCACACAUGGUCACACUUUUAAUUGAAAUGAAAACAAUCAAAGUUUAUAAACUUCAAAUCGAUGUAUAUUUUUUUAUUUUGGAGAAAGUAAACAAUGGCAGUAGUUUUGUUUCUUAAUUCUAAUGGCGAAGAACGAGAACAUGUUCUUAGAAGAAGGAUUAUGGACGCAUCAAAUCCGUUUGAGUUUGACGAUUUAAAAUUUGUAAGGAACUUUCGCCUCAAUAAACGGGCAUUUAAAUAUGUCUUGGAUGAGCUUUCCAUCGAGAUACAGGGGGGAACUUCUUUGUCCAUACCGUAGCACCGUCUUUAGCCCAUGGCUAUUGAACUUCACGGCAGCAUCUCUCCAAAACCGGUCAAUAUCUAUACGGUUUACAGAAAAACCCUUCGCUACCUCCGAAUUCUCCUCCAUUAACCUUAUCAGGAUUUCUUUUUGUUCCCUAUUUGUCCAAUUUGAAUGUGACUGUGCCCUUUAUGAAAUAACAACAAAAAAAACUCGUCAAUAUAACCAAAUUCGUUUAAUUAUCGUAUAAAAAUUGUUAAAACUUACAUAUUUCUUCAGCUAUUCACCAGAAAAUAUCUGAACGACACAAAAAUGACAUUUGGUUCGAAUCACUCGAAAGUCAAAAUUUACUUAGUUUUUUUUUUUUAAAUGAACUUUCGAUUGAAUCAGCAAACUUUCGAAUCGAUCGAAUCUCAAAAUAAAAUCUUCUCGAAUUCGAAUAACAUUCGAUCGAAAACGAAUCUCAAAAUAAGGGUGA